AUUGAACGCUGGCGGCAUGCCUUACACAUGCAAGUCGAACGGCAGCACGGGAGCAAUCCUGGUGGCGAGUGGCGAACGGGUGAGUAAUAUAUCGGAACGUGCCCAGUCGUGGGGAUAACGUAGCGAAAGCUACGCUAAUACCGCAUACGAUCUAUGGAUGAAAGCGGGGGAUCGCAAGACCUCGCGCGAUUGGAGCGGCCGAUAUCAGAUUAGGUAGUUGGUGAGGUAAAGGCUCACCAAGCCGACGAUCUGUAGCUGGUCUGAGAGGACGACCAGCCACACUGGGACUGAGACACGGCCCAGACUCCUACGGGAGGCAGCAGUGGGGAAUUUUGGGACAAUGGGCGCAAGCCUGAUCCAGCAAUGCCGCGUGCAGGAUGAAGGCCUCGGUGUAACUGCUUUG
Molecule: ribosomal RNA, 403 nt
Filed under: uncultured bacterium
Lineage: Bacteria
Description: bacterial SSU rRNA
Rfam family: Bacterial small subunit ribosomal RNA
Source: RNAcentral